This 391-nucleotide unclassified non-coding RNA is filed under the name soil metagenome. Its description in RNAcentral is "partial contains 5.8S ribosomal RNA, internal transcribed spacer 2, and large subunit ribosomal RNA". The stretch from base 1 to 122 matches the Rfam family "5.8S ribosomal RNA", at positions 35 to 154 of the family's 154-position model. The record is from RNAcentral.
GAUGAAGAACGCAGCGAAAUGCGAUACUUGGUGUGAAUUGCAGAAUCCCGUGAACCAUCGAGUCUUUGAACGCAAGUUGCGCCCGAAGCCAUUAGGCCGAGGGCACGCCUGCCUGGGCGUCACACGUCGUUGCCCCCCCAUCAACUCCUUCGGGAUUGCGGGGGGCGGAUGAUGGCCUCCCGUGCGCCUCGCCGCGCGGUUGGCAUAAAUGCCAAGUCCUCGGCGACGCACGCCACGACAAUCGGUGGUUGCGAAACCUCGGUUGCCCGUCGUGUGCGGUCGUCGCGCAUCGAGGGCUCGAAAAAAUUGCCGGGUUCCGGCUCGGCUUUCAACGCGACCCCAGGUCAGGCGGGGUUACCCGCUGAAUUUAAGCAUAUCAAUAAGCGGAGGA